RNAcentral lists this long non-coding RNA (463 nucleotides) under Triticum aestivum (bread wheat). RNAcentral's name for it is "long non-coding RNA (TAES_LNC026154)". The record is from RNAcentral. Lineage: Eukaryota; Viridiplantae; Streptophyta; Magnoliopsida; Poales; Poaceae.
AAAACAAAACCUUGUGUUCCUUUUAGUUUCUGAUACAUAAUAAACCUUGUUUAAAGACACGAGAAUUAGUAAAUAAGCAUCUCGAUUGUGAUAAUUUUCAGAUGAUAAAAACUGACUGAUGACAAAUUUAAUAUUCAAAGUAUGUCACUACAAAACCAUGGGAUUGAUGGAUGCAACAUAUUUACAACAGUAGUAGUACAAUAUACACUUCGAAAAUUAGGGAUAGCACCAAGGAGGGUCUCUGAAACAACUGGUUAGAACAUUUGUAUUUAAAUGCAACAUGAUGUGGGCAACUCCAUCCUUUGCAGGCCAGGAAACCCGUGAGCGGCUAGUGGCCAAGGCCAUCAUCUGGUUUCCAGUUCCUUUCACCUUCAACAACAGAUCUAGUUUCACCAACAGAAUAUCCCACGGCCCAUGCUCAGAUCAGCACUGCUUGAGAUUACGGCAAACAAUAGCUCGUCAG